GUGCUCGCUUCGGCAGCACAUAUACUAAAAUUGGAACGAUACAGAGAUUAGUUUGGCUCCUGUGAAAGGAUGACACUCAAAUUCGUGAAGCAUUCCAUAUUUUU
Small nuclear RNA from Sorex fumeus (smoky shrew), 104 nucleotides. NCBI's taxonomy places the organism in Eukaryota, Metazoa, Chordata, Mammalia, Eulipotyphla, Soricidae. The record is from RefSeq and is a predicted model, not a curated record.